RNAcentral lists this ribosomal RNA (810 nucleotides) under uncultured Eubacteriales bacterium. RNAcentral describes it as "bacterial SSU rRNA". It matches the Rfam family "Bacterial small subunit ribosomal RNA", at positions 28 to 838 of the family's 1533-position model. The record is from RNAcentral. Lineage: Bacteria; Bacillati; Bacillota; Clostridia; Eubacteriales.
GAUGAACGCUGGCGGCGUGCCUAACACAUGCAAGUCGAGCGAGAAGUCUUGGAACGAAGCUUCGGUAGAGUGAAGAGAUGGAAAGCGGCGGACGGGUGAGUAACGCGUAGGCAACCUGCCCCAUACAGAGGGACAGCCUUGGGAAACCGGGAUUAAUACCUCAUAACGCAUACAGUCUGCCUGGACAGUAUGCCAAAGAUUUAUCGGUAUGGGAUGGGCCUGCGUCUGAUUAGCUGGUUGGCGGGGUAACGGCCCACCAAGGCAACGAUCAGUAGCCGACCUGAGAGGGUGAUCGGCCACAUUGGAACUGAGACACGGUCCAAACUCCUACGGGAGGCAGCAGUGGGGAAUAUUGCACAAUGGGCGCAAGCCUGAUGCAGCAACGCCGCGUGAGCGAAGAAGGCCUUUGGGUCGUAAAGCUCUGCCCUUGGGGAAGAAACAAAUGACGGUACCCUUGGAGGAAGCCCCGGCUAACUACGUGCCAGCAGCCGCGGUAAUACGUAGGGGGCGAGCGUUAUCCGGAAUCAUUGGGCGUAAAGAGUGCGUAGGCGGCUUUGUAAGCGUGGGGUGAAAGGCAGCGGCUCAACCGUUGUAAGCCCCGCGAACUGCAUGGCUUGAGUGCAGGAGAGGAAAGCGGAAUUCCUAGUGUAGCGGUGAAAUGCGUAGAUAUUAGGAGGAACACCAGUGGCGAAGGCGGCUUUCUGGACUGUAACUGACGCUGAGGCACGAAAGCGUGGGGAGCGAACAGGAUUAGAUACCCUGGUAGUCCACGCCGUAAACGAUGAGCACUAGGUGUCGGGGCCGCAAGGU